ACUCAAAGGAAUAGACGGGGGCCCGCACAAGCGGCGGAGCAUGCGGCUUAAUUCGAUGCAACGCGAAGAACCUUACCUGGGUUUGACAUGCAGGGUGAAACCGUUGAAAGACGGCGCUCUUCGGAGCCUGCACAGGUGGUGCAUGGCUGUCGUCAGCUCGUGCCGUGAGGUGUUGCCUUAAGUGGCGCAACGAGCGCAACCCCUGUCCUUAGUUGCCAGCGAGUGAAGUCGGGAACUCUAGGGAGACUGCCGGUGCCAAACCGGAGGAAGGUGGGGAUGACGUCAAGUCAGCAUGCCCCUUAUACCCAGGGCUGCACGCAUGCUACAAUGCGCGAUACAGAGGGCUGCGAUCCCGUAAGGGGGAGCGAAUCCCAAAAAGUCGCGCUCAGUUCGGAUCGAGGUCUGCAACUCGACCUCGUGAAGUCGGAGUCGCUAGUAAUCGCAGAUCAGCAUCGCUGCGGUGAAUACGUUCCCGGGCCUUGCACACACCGCCCGU
This 496-nucleotide ribosomal RNA is filed under the name uncultured bacterium. Its description in RNAcentral is "partial 16S ribosomal RNA". It matches the Rfam family "Bacterial small subunit ribosomal RNA", at positions 899 to 1397 of the family's 1533-position model. The record is from RNAcentral.